GUAAACUUGGGGCAGGCGGGCGUGGUAAGAGGAGGGAUGCAAGCGGUUUCCGGAUUCAUUGGGUUUAAAGGGGGCGUAGGCGGACUAAUAAGGCAGUGGUGAAAUCUCCGGGCUUAACCCGGAAACUGCCAUUGAUACUGUAAGUCUUGAGUACAGAUGAUGUUGGCGGAAUAUGACAUGUAGCGGUGAAAUGCAUAGAUAUGUCAUAGAACACCGAUUGCGAAGGCAGCUGACAAAACUGUAACUGACGCUGAGGCACGAAAGUGCGGGGAUCAAACAGGAUUAGAUACCCUGGUAGUC
Molecule: ribosomal RNA, 300 nt
Filed under: uncultured Methanosalsum sp.
Lineage: Archaea; Methanobacteriati; Methanobacteriota; Methanomicrobia; Methanosarcinales; Methanosarcinaceae
Description: bacterial SSU rRNA
Rfam family: Bacterial small subunit ribosomal RNA
Source: RNAcentral